This 229-nucleotide long non-coding RNA is filed under the name Mytilus galloprovincialis (Mediterranean mussel). The record is from RNAcentral. Lineage: Eukaryota; Metazoa; Mollusca; Bivalvia; Mytilida; Mytilidae.
AUAUAAAUAUAAAUUUGUUUAUUACAUCAAAUUGUCUUUGGCAUUGAUUUUAAUAUAAUUAGUAAAUACUAGUAUAUAUGCAAGGGCUUAAAAUAUUGAUUUUUCUGAAUUUAAAGAAUAAAGUUACCUCCUAUAGACCAUACACAAGGUAAUAUCAUUUGAACUUUAUAUUGUGAAUAUUGAGGUUUUCAGGUUUACAACAAAAUAAGAAAGAUUUAUAUGCUCAAAU